This 852-nucleotide long non-coding RNA is filed under the name Phascolarctos cinereus (koala). Its description in RNAcentral is "lncRNA (ENSPCIG00000037245.1)". The record is from RNAcentral. Lineage: Eukaryota; Metazoa; Chordata; Mammalia; Diprotodontia; Phascolarctidae.
GAGAUGGCCAAGUCCCUCUCUCUCUCUCUCUCUCUCUCUCUCUCUCUCUCUCUCUCUCUCUCUCUCUCUCUCUCUCUCUCUCUCUCUCUCUCACACACACACACACACACACACACACACACACACUGCCUCAGUUUUCUCAUCUGUAAGAUGAGUACUUGGGCAGAAGGAUGACCUCUGAGCUCCCUUACAGCGCUAGAUCUAGUGAGAUCACUCAUGCAAUGCGCUUUGCAGUAGGGCUAUCUAUGAUCUGAGGCUCGGAUCCUGUGACGUCAUUCUUUGCCGGACUGAGCACUAGGGGCUGGACACUGAGUUCCUGGAAGCACCAGAAACAUCUGCUGGUAAACGGGGUAUUUAUUUUGCGUAUGUUUUACAGUCACUUCUCUAUAUACCCCGGUUUUACCUCUCCCUCCCACCUCCCAACGUCAGAAGCGCCUUGAGGGCAGGAACCGCCUAGGUUUAGGCUCCGUACCCCCUGCGCUAGCCCACGCUGUAGGUGCUGAACAGAGGCCAGGUUAAGGCUGGGUGAAUUGGACUGGCUUGUGCGCCUGCGCGCCAGCCCCAAGACUACAAUUCCUAGCACCGAGGAACUCUCGGGGUCCGAUGGACCCUAGGAAGGUCCACGCUGACUCUGAGCAGGCGCAGUUGGGGAGAUGUCUAUUUCAACCCUUUUCCUCGGGAUUUAGGUGGAGGUGGAGCGACGCUGUCCGCCACGUGGAUCUCCGAUCCUUGGAACUUACUAUGAGCAAAGGAAUGGGUUCUUCAGUGCCAAUAUCCAUGAGCCCUUUCUCCAAUUCUAGGAAAAGGGCUGCCAUCUUGAGACUCUACCCUUUACCAAAAAGGGAGAAUUGA